This 430-nucleotide unclassified non-coding RNA is filed under the name soil metagenome. RNAcentral's name for it is "partial contains 5.8S ribosomal RNA, internal transcribed spacer 2, and large subunit ribosomal RNA". The stretch from base 1 to 120 matches the Rfam family "5.8S ribosomal RNA", at positions 35 to 154 of the family's 154-position model. The record is from RNAcentral.
GAUGAAGAACGUAGCGAAAUGCGAUACGUAAUGUGAAUUGCAGAAUUCAGUGAAUCAUCGAAUCUUUGAACGCAUAUUGCGCUCUCUGGUAUUCCGGAGAGCAUGCUUGUUUGAGUAUCAGUAAACACCUCAACUCCCUUUUCUUUUUUGAAAUUGGAGCUGGACUUGAGUGAUCCCAACGCUUUCUUCCAAGAAAGUGGCGGGUUUCUUGAAAUGCAGGUGCAGCUGAACUUUUCUCUGAGCUAUAAGCAUAUCUAUUUAGUCUGCCUAAAAAACAGAUUAUUACCUUUGCUGCAGCUAACAUAAAGGAGACUAGUUCUUGUGCUGACUGAUGCAGGAUUCACAGAGACAGCUUCGGCUGACUUUGUAAACUCGAUCUCAAAUCAAGUAAGACUACCCGCUGAACUUAAGCAUAUCAAUAAGCGGAGGA